Molecule: ribosomal RNA, 502 nt
Filed under: uncultured bacterium
Lineage: Bacteria
Description: partial 16S ribosomal RNA
Rfam family: Bacterial small subunit ribosomal RNA
Source: RNAcentral
AUUGAACGCUGGCGGAAUGCUUUACACAUGCAAGUCGAACGGCAGCACGGGAGCUUGCUCCUGGUGGCGAGUGGCGAACGGGUGAGUAAUGCAUCGGAACGUACCUUUUAGUGGGGGAUAACUAUCCGAAAGGAUGGCUAAUACCGCAUACGCCCUGAGGGGGAAAGCAGGGGAUCGCAAGACCUUGCGCUAAUAGAGCGGCCGAUGUUCGAUUAGCUAGUUGGUGGGGUAAAGGCUCACCAAGGCGACGAUCGAUAGCUGGUCUGAGAGGAUGAUCAGCCACACUGGAACUGAGACACGGUCCAGACUCCUACGGGAGGCAGCAGUGGGGAAUUUUGGACAAUGGGGGCAACCCUGAUCCAGCCAUUCCGCGUGAGUGAAGAAGGCCUUCGGGUUGUAAAGCUCUUUCGGCAGGAACGAAACGGUCAUUACUAAUACUAGUGACUAAUGACGGUACCUGAAGAAGAAGCACCGGCUAACUACGUGCCAGCAGCCGCAGUAA